GAUGAACGCUGGCGGCGUGCCUAAUACAUGCAAGUCGAGCGAACGGACGAGAAGCUUGCUUCUCUGAUGUUAGCGGCGGACGGGUGAGUAACACGUGGAUAACCUACCUAUAAGACUGGGAUAACUUCGGGAAACCGGAGCUAAUCCCGGAUAAUAUUUUGAACCGCAUGGUUCAAAAGUGAAAGACGGUCUUACUGUCACUUAUAGAUGGAUCCGCGCUGCAUUAGCUAGUUGGUAAGGUAACGGCUUACCAAGGCAACGAUGCAUAGCCGACCUGAGAGGGUGAUCGGCCACACUGGAACUGAGACAGGGUCCAGACUCCUACGGGAGGACGCAGUAGGGAAUCUUCCGCAAUGGGCGAAAGCCUGACGGAGCAACGCCGCGUGAGUGAUGAAGGUCUUCGGAGCGUAAAACUCUGUUAUUAGGGAAGAACAUAUGUGUAAGUAACUGUGCACAUCGUGACGGUACCUAAUCAGAAAGCCACGGCUAACUACGUG
RNAcentral lists this ribosomal RNA (497 nucleotides) under uncultured bacterium. RNAcentral describes it as "partial 16S ribosomal RNA". It matches the Rfam family "Bacterial small subunit ribosomal RNA", at positions 28 to 507 of the family's 1533-position model. The record is from RNAcentral.